UGGGGAAUAUUGCACAAUGGGCGAAAGCCUGAUGCAGCAACGCCGCGUGAGUGAUGACGGUCUUCGGAUUGUAAAGCUCUGUCUUUGGGGACGAUAAUGACGGUACCCAAGGAGGAAGCCACGGCUAACUACGUGCCAGCAGCCGCGGUAAUACGUAGGUGGCAAGCGUUGUCCGGAUUUACUGGGCGUAAAGGGUGCGUAGGCGGACCUUUAAGUGAGAUGUGAAAUCCCCGAGCUUAACUUGGGGGCUGCAUUUCAAACUGGAGGUCUAGAGUGCAGGAGAGGAGAGUGGAAUUCCUAGUGUAGCGGUGAAAUGCGUAGAGAUUAGGAAGAACACCAGUGGCGAAGGCGACUCUCUGGACUGUAACUGACGCUGAGGCACGAAAGCGUGGGGAG
Molecule: ribosomal RNA, 396 nt
Filed under: uncultured bacterium
Lineage: Bacteria
Description: bacterial SSU rRNA
Rfam family: Bacterial small subunit ribosomal RNA
Source: RNAcentral